RNAcentral lists this ribosomal RNA (253 nucleotides) under uncultured bacterium. RNAcentral's name for it is "partial 16S ribosomal RNA". It matches the Rfam family "Bacterial small subunit ribosomal RNA", at positions 524 to 776 of the family's 1533-position model. The record is from RNAcentral.
UACGGGGGGGGCAAGCGUUGUUCGGAAUUACUGGGCGUAAAGGGCUCGUAGGUGGCCAACUAAGUCAGACGUGAAAUCCCUCGGCUUAACCGGGGAACUGCGUCUGAUACUGGAUGGCUUGAGUUUGGGAGAGGGACGCGGAAUUCCAGGUGUAGCGGUGAAAUGCGUAGAUAUCUGGAGGAACACCGGUGGCGAAGGCGGCGUCCUGGACCAACAUUGACACUGAUGAGCGAAAGCCAGGGGAGCAAACGGG